This 253-nucleotide ribosomal RNA is filed under the name uncultured bacterium. Its description in RNAcentral is "partial 16S ribosomal RNA". It matches the Rfam family "Bacterial small subunit ribosomal RNA", at positions 524 to 776 of the family's 1533-position model. The record is from RNAcentral.
UACGGAGGGUGCAAGCGUUAAUCGGAAUUACUGGGCGUAAAGGGUGCGUAGGUGGUUUGGUAAGUUAUCUGUGAAAUCCCCGGGCUCAACCUGGGCAGGUCAGAUAAUACUGCUGAACUCGAGUAUGGGAGAGGGUAGUGGAAUUUCCGGUGCAGCGGUGAAAUGCGUAGAGAUCGGAAGGAACACCAGUGGCGAAGGCGGCUCACUGGACUGGUACUGACGCUGAGGCGCGAAAGCGUGGGGAGCAAACGGG